UUUAUUUGCAUGUAUUGCUAUAUUUAUUACAAAAAAACAUGUGCUCAACUGAUUUAUCCCGAGUUGUCGGCAUUCUCCGCUCGAUGUAUCCACAAGUCGAGACUCUGGAGGGGUUCUCAAAGAGGAUAGUGUUUUCAGAAGGACGUCCGUUGGUUCUUGUGGAGGAGUCUGACUCAAAUCGCUUCAAAGCAUUCGUUACUGAAACGUUUGUUUGCUACGACAAGAUUACAUUACAGGAACCAAGCUGCAAACAGAUCUGUUCUGUGUCAGAGCUUCUGGCUUUCAUCCUGAACACUUUGAAGAGGAAACGGAAAAGAAACAUCUUAACAUAUGGCUAUGGUUUCAAGUUUAAUACCCAAGGAGAGCAGACUGGAAACUGCUUUGCGUUCCAAAGUAAUUUGUCUCAAAAUGCAGCCUACAUUUUUGGCAGUGACCUGUGGACGAAGGUCAUUACGCGUCUGGGUACAGAUGUGACGCGGUGUCUUCUGGAGAACUGCUCUAUAUUCGUAGCAGUCCCUCCAACAUGUUUGUUUCAAGUGUGUGGUGUGCCUGCCUAUGACCAAGUCCCACCCACCAGUCUACUGCCUGGAUUCAGCCUACAAUCCCGAUCCCGGACAAAGAACAAAGCUCCGUUUGGAGGUCGUAACACUCUGAGAGGGAAACAAUGCCUUGAUAGUCAGGCAUGUGCAGUUAUGGAUGACAGAAUUGUUCAGAUGAAAAGGAAGAGAUAUCAAAUGAAUGAAGAUGAAACUACUGAACAUUCCAAAAAAAGGAGGCGAUUAGAUCAGUAUGAGGCCACCAGUAUAGACCAAAGUUUAUCCACAGAUUCAGCGGCUGCAUGUGAUCUGGUUUACGACAAAGGAUCUGCUUCUAACAAAUCUCCUCACACCUCAAUUUUAACUGGGAACGAAGAAAAUGUCUCAAAAUCAGUGCCUACCAAAACUUUGCCUCCCUCACAAUACUUCAUUCGCACUUUGGGCUUUGUUUAUGGAGGCACUGGAAUGUGUGCGUUCAUCCUUAACAAGAAGAAGAAGGUUGGGGAAGCAUCUAGACGACUGCUCGGAGAAGAUUUGGUCCGAAUAAUUUUCCUCAAAGGUCCAGAUUAUCUCAAAGAACAAGAGAAAAACCAGAGGAAAUUACCCAGGCGCUUAUUUUACAUGGUCCCGUUCUUUACCAAGCUACUCAGCCAGCACAAGAAAUGUUCUUACAGGAGGCUCCUACAGAAGAUGUGUCCACUAGUGAAGAAGACAAGCGAUGGAAACGAGGACUUGAACUUACUCCUUCGCCAGUGCUGCUCACCUCAUCGUGUGUACCUGUUUGUGAGGGAGUGCCUAGCCACUGUGAUUCCCCCUGAACUCUGGGGCUCAGAGGACAAUCAACGACAUUUCUACGCAAGAGUCAGCAGUUUCCUGCGCAGAGGGAAGUUUGAGAUGAUAUCUAUAGGAGAACUCAUGUGGAAGAUGAAAGUGAAUGAUUGCAACUGGUUGAAGAUCAGUAAGACAGGCAGGAUCCCACCCAGCGAGCUUGCAUAUCGCACACGGCUCCUGGGUCAGUUUUUGGGCUGGCUACUUGAAGGUUAUGUGACUGGCUUGGUAAGGUGUUGCUUCUAUGUGACUGAGGGUGUCAACCAGAAGAACGCUCUGAAGUUCUAUCGCCACGAUGUCUGGCCCAAAUUGCGAGACUUGGCUUUCAGAAACCAUGUUUCUGAAUGCCAGAUUGAAGAGCUGGCCCCUGAUGAAGUGAUGUCCCUCCCCAGUACAACAGUGAUCUCCCGCCUUCGCUUCAUUCCGAAGACAGACGGAAUGAGAGCAAUCACUGCUGUCGUUGGAGCUGACGCCAAAACAAAGUUUCACAGAAUGCGUCUGCAGGACCUAAAAGCCAUCUUGCUAGCUUGUGUGAAAUCGUCUCCAUCCCUUCUGGGUUCAACAGUUUGGGGAAUGAGUGGAAUUCACAAAGUGCUGUCUUCCUUUGCUCCAUUGAAGAAGGAGAGAGUGGAACCUUUUUACUUUGUAAAGGUGGAUGUGAGUGGGGCUUACAACAGUCUUCCUCACAAGAAACUCCAAGAAGUCAUAGGUCAGGCGCUGGCCUCCGUCGAUGACAAAGACUUCAACAUACGUACGUUUGUUAAAAUCUGGGCCGACUCCCAUGAAGGUAUUCGGAGGUCCUUUGAACUAAAGGCGAACAUCGUUGACGAAAUUGCAGGCACACCCAGCAUGAAAAACUUUGUUGCCUCACUGCAAAGAAGCAAGACAGCUCACCAUGCCAUUCUGGUGGAGCAGCAUUUCUCUUCAGGUCACUAUGUCAAAGAGCAGUUGGAGUUCUUUACACAAAUGCUUACAGGGAACAUUAUCCAGCACGGGAAGAGAAUGUAUCGUCGGUGUCAAGGGAUUCCUCAGGGGUCUCUUGUGUCAAGUCUUCUGUGCUGCCUCUGCUACGGUCACAUGGAGAACACGCUCUUUAAAGAUUUUCCGAAAGACAAAGUGUGUUUCAUGAGGCUGAUCGAUGAUUUCCUGCUGAUCACCACGGAAAAAUGGAGAGCCAAAUCCUUUCUCAUGACCUUGUUUGAUGGGGUGCCUGAGUAUGGCCUUGUAGCCAACCCGCAGAAGGUGGUGGCAAACUUCCAAGCGUCCACAUGGUCCCAUCAUGGCAUUACCACGCUGCCCUAUCACUCUCUCUUCCCCUGGUGUGGUUUACUUCUUGACACAAAAUCGCUGGAAGUCUAUAAGGAUUACUCCAGCUAUGCAGGUCUGUCUCUACGCUACACUCUCACCCUGGGCUCUGUCAUCUCACCCGGUCAACAGAUGAGAAGAAAAUUGAUGGGCAUCAUCAGACUCAAAUGUCAUUCUGUCUUCGUGGACUUAAAGACCAACUCACUGGAAACGGUGUACAAGAACGUCUACCACUUGGUGUUACUUCAUGCAUGCAGGUUCCAUGUUUGUGCCCAGAGUUUGCCCUUUGGCCAGACUGUUUCGAAGAAUCCCCGCUACUUCCUGAACAUGAUUCAGGAUAUGGCCCACUACACCAACAGGCUGAUCAGACUGAGCAACAAAGGUGAGAUGUUGGGUUGCAAGAGCCAGACAGGCAUGCUGCAGUAUGAAGCUGUGGAGCUGAUUUUCUGCAACUCAUUUGUGAUGAUGAUGUCUAAACACCGCAGCAUGUACAAGGAUGUUCUUCUGCACCUCCGCAAAUGGAAGCGCAGCCUGGAGCAGCGUCUUGGAGAUCUAAGGGUGGCCAUAGUCAGACAGGUGACUCAGUCCAAGACCCCAGUGGACUUUUUGGCCUGCUUGUUUUAGACUGGCACCAACGUGUUUAGAACGAAAGGACCACAGCAGCAGACAGGAAUUGGUAUGGAAUCACCCUUUACGGAGUACUCUUUAAACUUACUCUUCUACUUGGAUUCCUUCACAUCAUCUUGUGGUUUCAGUGGAUAAGGGUUGUUUGGCUGUGUUUCAAAACAAAACAAUUACCUUCUUAUCAGCUCCGAAAAUAUGAAUCACUUAUAAAACAAUAACUCUAGCUGCAGGAGGAAUGAAGAUGGCGGAAAAGUGUCCACGAAAGACGCUCAUGGUUGUUUGGACUUUGAUUUACACUUUGCAGUACUUUUCCGUGAAAAAAGUGCCAGCGCCACCACCUCGUACUUAGCUGAAGUCGGAUCUCAGAAUCACAAUCAUCUCUUGACUCUUUUCUCACACUGUGCUUGUACAUACCUGUGUCCAUGAAAGAUUUUGCCUUUUGGUCUGUUAUUUGGAUGUGUAUAAAAGAAGUAUUCAAUUAUAAAACUACAGUCAUGAAAAUCAGAGGAACUGUCCAAAUGAGUUUGUGUCUCUAAACACCUUGCCGCUUGUAUUCCUGUAAGUCACUGUCGAAGCCGUGGUUGUCAUAUGGGCUUAGUUCCCUUUUUUUGGAAUGCCUCCUGACUCCCCAGCAUAUGACUUUGUAGAGCGCCACCAAUGGAAUGGAAACCACAGGCACGGAGGAGAGGAGCACUAUGAUGGCAAACACCCAGUCUGGAUCUCAAAGAAGGCGAUAAUGAGCAGAGGUACGGAGCCCACGUAGCCAUUGAAGACCUCCACCCAGUAGUUCCCAGAUCCCAGGGUGAAGAUGAGAGAGAUGGCAAAGUCUCGGUUGAAUUCUCAGUACCUGUCAAUGCUUCGUUAGGGAGCCACUUUGGCACCAAAUUGAGGUCAUUUAUGGGAGUGAGAACUCCUUCCAAGUUUCCAAACAUGGAGGAGAGUCCCAAGCUGAAGAGCAUCACGAAGAACAGAAUGGCCCACACCUGGGAGCCUGGCAUCGACAGCACUGCUUCAGUAAACACAAUGAAGGCCAGGCCGGUUCCUGAAGCGCUCUGGGGAGGCAAGAGAAAUACUUUGGCUGCUGAGCAUGUCCUGUACAGAGUCAAACUACAAGAAGGGAGUGAGCAGCAACCUGGUCAAGGAAAUCAUUCAGGUCACAUUCUUUCAGCGGUACGUUGGCGAAUUCUUCAGGCCAUGUCUGAUUUAAAUACUUCUCCCAGUAGUUAUAGUUCUCCACUGUGAUGUUCUGGUCAGGCCACUCAAAGUGAUUAGUCAAAGCUAUGAUGUUCCUGCACGAGAAGAAAGGGAGGGGUGAUUUCAACAGAGAGAGAGUUUAGUGAACCUUUAGUGAAACUUCACAUACAUAAAAAUAUA
This is an RNA transcript of Synchiropus splendidus (mandarinfish), 4667 nucleotides long. It is a transcript of the gene named telomerase reverse transcriptase, with no coding region annotated. The record is from RefSeq and is a predicted model, not a curated record. The transcript has 18 exons. NCBI's taxonomy places the organism in Eukaryota, Metazoa, Chordata, Actinopteri, Syngnathiformes, Callionymidae.